RNAcentral lists this ribosomal RNA (1463 nucleotides) under Chaetodactylus krombeini (Krombein's hairy-footed mite). RNAcentral describes it as "eukaryotic LSU rRNA". It matches the Rfam family "Eukaryotic large subunit ribosomal RNA", at positions 73 to 1269 of the family's 3401-position model. Lineage: Eukaryota; Metazoa; Arthropoda; Arachnida; Sarcoptiformes; Chaetodactylidae. The record is from RNAcentral.
GAUUCCCUUAGUAACGGCGAGCGAACAGGGAUCAGCCCAGCGCCAAGUCCUAACGCUUCAAGUGUUUAGGAGAUGCGGCGUUAAUGUAUUAGCGCAUCGCAUGUUGUUUCGUGCUUCAAGUUCCUUUGACAAGGACUCCCAGAGUGGGUGCUAGGCCCAUAGAGGCUGCGAAACUGACAUGCGCAGGCUAAUGCAUUUUAGAGUCAGGUUGCUUGAGAGUGCAGCCUAAAGCAGGUGGUAAACUCCAUCUAAGGCUAAAUAUUACAGCAAGACCGAUAGCAAACAAGUACCGUGAGGGAAAGUUGCAAAGAACUUUGAAGAGAGAGUUCAAUAGGACGUGAAACCAUUAACAGGUAAACGGGUGGAACCACGAAGUUUGCGCUGAUGGCGAUUCAAUUAAUUUGAUCUGGUUGGCUGUAAUUGUUCAAUGGGUCUUUUCGGAGACUGUACAAUUGCCGUCUGCAAUCAGGUUAGAUUAGUGCAUUUUGCUCAUCAGGUGCUUCAACCACGUCCGAUUAGGUGGCUGGGAUGGCUAUUAGGAUUCAUUGAAGGUAGCCGUUGAUUAGUUUUACACUGAUCAGCGGUGUUAUAGCUUUGAAUUUUUGCCGUCGUCUAGCGUGCUGAUCGGUAAAAGUUUUCCGAUUCCGGAAUCUAGCCAGUAAUGGUCAGGUGUGCUUCAGUUGUCAAUAGUGUUGGUGGUAGUCAGCGCUUUUCGUAUUUUCGGAUGCGUAAAGUCUGGCUGCUUGGCCAAUCUAUUCGUCGCUGUUGCAUGAUUUGGCUGGUGCAAACUGUGGUGUUAGUAGGUCGGUCUCCACCCGACCCGUCUUGAAACACGGACCAAGGAGCCUAACAUAUACGCAAGUCGCUCGGUCUUGUUUAGGCCAGGGAGGCAUAAUGAAAGUAAAGCUACGAGAUUGUGAGGUGCUUGCGCCGAUCGAUUGCAGUAGCGGCCCGCCAGCUUCGUUUAUUGGCGAUAUGGCGGAGCUGGAGCGUAUACGUUGGUACCCGAAAGAUGGUGAACUAUGCCUGGGCAGGACGAAGCCAGAGGAAACUCUGGUGGAGGUCUGCAGCGAUUCUGACGUGCAAAUCGAUCGUCAGACCUGGGUAUAGGGGCGAAAGACUAAUCGAACCAUCUAGUAGCUGGUUCCCUCCGAAGUUUCCCUCAGGAUAGCAGGCGCUAAUUUGAAUCAGUCUCAUCCGGUAAAGCUAAUGAUUAGAGGUCUUGGGACCGAAACGGUCUCAACCUAUUCUCAAACUUUAAAUGGGUGAGAUGCCUGACUUGCUUAAUUGAAGCCAGGCAUUUGGAUGUUGAGUGCCUAGUGGGCCAGCUUUGGUAAGCAGAACUGGCGCUGUGGGAUGAACCAAACGUCGAGUUAAGGCAUCAAAUGCUUACGCUCAUCAGAUCCCAUGAAAGGUGUUGGUUGCUAUAGACAGCAGGACGGUGGCCAUGGAAGUCGGAAUCC